UGGGAUAUGGUUCAGUGGUAGAUCACUUGUCUGGUAUACGUGAGGCCCUGGAUUUGAUCCCCAGUACUGUAA
RNAcentral lists this transfer RNA (72 nucleotides) under Marmota marmota marmota (Alpine marmot). It matches the Rfam family "tRNA". From Rfam's summary of the family: Transfer RNA (tRNA) molecules are approximately 80 nucleotides in length. Lineage: Eukaryota; Metazoa; Chordata; Mammalia; Rodentia; Sciuridae. The record is from Rfam by way of RNAcentral. RNAcentral also lists the same sequence under 1 other name.